GUGGUAGCUUUGACAGCCCAGGUGCUAAAAUUAGAACAGCGCAGAGAAGAUCUUGGCUCUUGCCCCAGGAUGGCAUGUAAAUUCAUGAGGCAUCCUGUAUUUUU
This is a small nuclear RNA of Panthera tigris altaica (Amur tiger), 104 nucleotides long. NCBI's taxonomy places the organism in Eukaryota, Metazoa, Chordata, Mammalia, Carnivora, Felidae. The record is from Ensembl.